Long non-coding RNA from Acipenser ruthenus (sterlet), 945 nucleotides. RefSeq lists it as uncharacterized. Lineage: Eukaryota; Metazoa; Chordata; Actinopteri; Acipenseriformes; Acipenseridae. The transcript is spliced from 3 exons. The record is from RefSeq and is a predicted model, not a curated record.
CUGAAGCGACUCUGCUGUUCCUCCGAAUCAGAACGCAGAAAGAAAGACAGACAGUAACAGUAACGUAUUUGGUGUAGAAGUACUAUCGAGUUUCAGAAUGCUGCUCCUGGCAUUAUGCACAGUCUGCGCGCUGCUCUCCGCAGCGUACACAGACACUACCCCAUCUGGUCAGGAGUGCUUUAGUUGCAUGGGAGACGUCUGCAAGGAGACUGUGAUGAAGUGCCUUGGCGUUGAAGACCGCUGUUCAAAAGUUGUCAUCGAAGCAGAAGGGAAGAAGUUCGUGACAAAGGGAUGCGUUUCCAAAAACGCUUGUAGUUCAAAAUCCAUUCCCGGUGUAUCCAUUCCCGGUGUAUCCAUUCCUGGUGUAUCCAUUCCCGGUGUAUCCAUUCCUGGUGUAUCCAUUCCCGGUGUAUCCAUUCCCGGUGUAUCCAUUCCUGGUGUAUCCAUUCCCGGUGUAUCCAUUCCCAGUUUAUCUGUAGUGACUUACUGCUGUGAGGGCAAACUGUGUAACGGAGCACGUCAGGUCGGACAGAACAUCCUGUUGCUGUUAUUUCCUCUUCUAAUUGUCAAGCUGCUAUUUUAAACCAGGACUCCCUCUAGUCUAUUCAAUAGCUCUUCAAUUGAACCCAGCAGGUAACUGGUUGCUUUAUUCUUGUUUAGUUUUUCAAGUUUUGUUUUUUGUAUAUCGCAACUUUCCUCCUAGAUUGCUCCAGUAAAAAAAAAGAGAAAAAAGGAAAACCUGUAUAAAUAAAUGGAUAAUUGUAUGUAACUCUUGUAAUAAUUUGAAAGACUCCCUGGAUAAGGGGGUGUAAGAAAUAAAAUAACAAUAACAAUCCUGAUUAUCCAUAAAUAUGAAUGUAUUUGUUAAUAUUGUCAUUUUCCUCGAACUGACUCUGGGUAUAUCUGUGCUUUCUGAUUCAAGUCAAAGUCAGCAUGUACAGUGUC